Molecule: non-coding RNA, 30 nt
Filed under: Homo sapiens (human)
Lineage: Eukaryota; Metazoa; Chordata; Mammalia; Primates; Hominidae
Source: RNAcentral
UCCUGCCAGACGGUCUAGGACCCAACAGUC